UCGAGAAUUUUUCACAAUGGGCGCAAGCCUGAUGGAGCGACGCCGCGUGGGGGAUGAAUGGCUUCGGCCCGUAAACCCCUGUCAUUUGCGAUCAAACCUUGCUAUUUAAAAGAUGGCGAGCUGAUAGUAGCGAAAGAGGAAGGGACGGCUAACUCUGUGCCAGCAGCCGCGGUAAUACAGAGGUCCCAAGCGUUGUUCGGAUUCACUGGGCGUAAAGGGUGCGUAGGUGGUGGGGUAAGUCGGAUGUGAAAUCUCGGAGCUCAACUCCGAAAUGGCAUUGGAAACUACCCUGCUAGAGGGUCGGAGGGGGGACUGGAAUUCUCGGUGUAGCAGUGAAAUGCGUAGAUAUCGAGAGGAACACCAGUGGCGAAGGCGAGUCCCUGGACGACUCCUGACACUGAGGCACGAAAGCUAGGGGAGCAAACA
This 426-nucleotide ribosomal RNA is filed under the name uncultured bacterium. RNAcentral describes it as "bacterial SSU rRNA". It matches the Rfam family "Bacterial small subunit ribosomal RNA", at positions 355 to 774 of the family's 1533-position model. The record is from RNAcentral.